CAAUAGCGUAUAUUUAAGUUGCUGCAGUUAAAAAGCUCGUAGUUGGAUUUCGGGUGGGAAUGGCCGGUCCGCCGUUUCGGUGUGCACUUGCUACGCCCACCUUGCUGCCGGGGACGUGCUCUUGAGUUCACGCUCGGGACACGGAGUCGGCGAGGUUACUUUGAGUAAAUUAGAGUGUUCAAAGCAGGCCUACGCUCUGAAUACAUUAGCAUGGAAUAACACGAUAGGACUCUGGCCUAUCUUGUUGGUCUGUAGGACCGGAGUAAUGAUUAAGAGGGACAGUCGGGGGCAUUCGUAUUUCAUUGUCAGAGGUGAAAUUCUUGGAUUUAUGAAAGACGAACUACUGCGAAAGCAUUGGCCAAGGAUGUUUUCAUUAA
This 377-nucleotide ribosomal RNA is filed under the name uncultured eukaryote. RNAcentral's name for it is "partial 18S ribosomal RNA". It matches the Rfam family "Eukaryotic small subunit ribosomal RNA", at positions 592 to 976 of the family's 1831-position model. The record is from RNAcentral.